This 315-nucleotide unclassified non-coding RNA is filed under the name Hevea brasiliensis (rubber tree). Lineage: Eukaryota; Viridiplantae; Streptophyta; Magnoliopsida; Malpighiales; Euphorbiaceae. The record is from RNAcentral.
UUCUCUUGAUGAUGAUGAUAUGAGAGAAUCUGGCAAAUUUCUUCGAUCAUCAGAGAGCAAGAACAUUCUUUUUGGACAGCGAGUAAGAAUUAAAGACCCAAACUUUCAAGCCAAUGCUAAUUCUUUUGAGGCACCAAAGUCUUUGCCAAGAAAUUUUGCAAUUUUCCCUCAUACCCAUACCAAAUCUCCACUUCAGAAGGGCAGCUCUAAUGUUAUUUUUGAGAUUGGAGAAGCCCCAUUUGCACCUGAGCACUUUGGAAAAAUCCGGUCUUGUUCACUGGACUCCUGCAAGUCCUUUUCCACACUAUCCCGAAU